UGGGGAAUAUUGCACAAUGGGCGCAAGCCUGAUGCAGCCAUGCCGCGUGUGUGUAGAAGGCCUUCGGGUUGUAAAGCACUUUCAGCGGGGAGGAAGGCGAUAAGGUUAAUAACCUUGUCGAUUGACGUUACCCGCAGAAGAAGCACCGGCUAACUCCGUGCUAGCAGCCGCGGUAAUACGGAGGGUGCAAGCGUUAAUCGGAAUUACUGGGCGUAAAGCGCACGCAGGCGGUCUGUCAAGACAGGUGUGAAAUCCCCGGGCUCAACCUGGGAACUGCAUUCGAAACUGGCAGGCUAGAGUCUUGUAGAAGGGGGUAGAAUUCCAGGUGUAGCGGUGAAAUGCGUAGAGAUCUGGAGGAAUACCGGUGGCGAAGGCGGCCCCCUGGACAAAGACUGACGCUCAGGUGCGAAAGCGUGGGGAGCAAACAGG
This 429-nucleotide ribosomal RNA is filed under the name Chloroflexota bacterium. RNAcentral describes it as "Chloroflexi bacterium partial 16S ribosomal RNA". It matches the Rfam family "Bacterial small subunit ribosomal RNA", at positions 355 to 776 of the family's 1533-position model. The record is from RNAcentral. Lineage: Bacteria; Bacillati; Chloroflexota.